Long non-coding RNA from Lotus japonicus, 1146 nucleotides. RefSeq lists it as uncharacterized. The record is from RefSeq and is a predicted model, not a curated record. The transcript is spliced from 4 exons. Lineage: Eukaryota; Viridiplantae; Streptophyta; Magnoliopsida; Fabales; Fabaceae.
UCAUUUGAAACGUAUUAGAGGAUGGACUCAUCUGGGGGGUUAAAAAAGAAGCCAGACACUAUUUUUGUGUAUGAAAGAAGAAGAAAAGGCACUAACUCUAAAAAAAGAUUGUCGCUGUACAGUAAAAUAGCAAAUCUCAAUCAAGUCAGUGCCUUACCUUCAGAAUCUUCUGUGGCUAAAAAUGAUGGAUCACGUGAAAUUGGAGAUGAUGGCAGUUACUUUGAAUGCGAGCUGUGCAAUGAUGGAGGAGAAUUGCUCUGCUGUGAUGCUUGCCCUCGAACUUAUCACUUGGAAUGCCUUGGUCUUAAAUCUGUUCCUCCUGAAAAAGAAUGGCUAUGCCCAAACUGCUCUGAGCUUUCAAUGCCCAAGAAACAUUUGAAGAGCUCCAAAAAAGACAUCUCAUCUAAGAAAGUCAAAGCUGGUUCUUGCUCCUCAGGAUCAAAGAACAAGAAGCAAUCAAAUUAAGCAAUCGAUGGUAAUUUGGCUGGAAAGGAGAAUGAGGAGUCAUCCUUGUUCUUAUGUGGGCUGCGAAUGUUUAAGUUGGUGUAUUAAAAUUUGAGCUUGUUCUUGUGAAAUUAAGACUCUGAACAUCUGUUGGUUGAGGUAUCUAAAACUUGGUGAUAUUUAAGUUUUUAAACUAUUGCUUACAGUCACUUCUGGUGUAAUACUUUAAGGAAGAUUUUAAAUAAUUUCUGUUGAACUUCUUUUAUUGAGUUUCCAUUUUGUUGAAUCUGUUAGCAGAAGUUUUAGUCUUUCACGAUUCAAUUUAUAAGGAAGAUUAACAACAACUUCUUUAUAAUCACGUAACUUUUUUCAACCACGCAUUGGGUUUCUUCAACCACGCCUUGAUCCGUUGAUUUGUCCUUUGAAGAAUGAUGUUGGAUCCCUUUUUGUCGCCGAUUUUGUUUCUUUAGGCUUUUGGUCAGCACUCUAUAGCACUCGAAAGGAGUUUUGUUGGUGGGGCCUUUGGUUUGCUCGGUUGGCUUGGGUCUACGUUUGUGGGUGUCGAGCGGCUUGAUGAUGGUUUCCCUAGUCGAUUGAAACUUUUUCCGUUUUUCAAUUUCAAUGGGACCUUUGUCAUGGGGACGGGGUAGAUGCUAGGGGGUUUAGUUUGUUUAAGCACGUACGCUUUGGUGCGUUCGUGGU